CUACGGGAUGCUCCAGGCGAGAAAACUUUGCAAUGUGCGAAAGCACGACAAGGUUAAUCCGAGUGGUUUCUGCUAAAGGAACCUUUUGUCGGUCCUAGAAACACCGAUGAAUAAGGGGUGGGCAAGUUCUGGUGUCAGCCGCCGCGGUAAAACCAGCACCUCAAGUGGUCAGGAUGAUUAUUGGGCCUAAAGCAUCCGUAGCCGGCUCUGUAAGUUUUCGGUUAAAUCUGUACGCUUAACGUACAGGCUGCCGGGAAUACUGCAUAGCUAGGGAGUGGGAGAGGUAGACGGUACUCGGUAGGAAGGGGUAAAAUCCUUUGAUCUAUUGAUGACCACCUGUGGCGAAGGCGGUCUACCAGAACACGUCCGACGGUGAGGGAUGAAAGCUGGGGGAGCAAACCGGAUUAGAUACCCGAGUAGUC
RNAcentral lists this ribosomal RNA (422 nucleotides) under uncultured archaeon. RNAcentral describes it as "partial 16S ribosomal RNA". It matches the Rfam family "Archaeal small subunit ribosomal RNA", at positions 323 to 746 of the family's 1478-position model. The record is from RNAcentral.